GAUGAACGCUGGCGGCGUGCCUAAUACAUGCAAGUCGAGCGAACGGACGAGAAGCUUGCUUCUCUGAUGUUAGCGGCGGACGGGUGAGUAACACGUGGAUAACCUACCUAUAAGACUGGGGUAACUUCGGGAAACCGGAGCUAAUACCGGAUGAUAUUUUGAACCGCAUGGUUCAAAAGUGAAAGACGGUCUUGCUGUCACUUAUAGAUGGAUCCGCGCUGCAUUAGCUAGUUGGUAAGGUAACGGCUUACCAAGGCAACGAUGCAUAGCCGACCUGAGAGGGUGAUCGGCCACACUGGAACUGAGACACGGUCCAGACUCCUACGGGAGGCAGCAGUAGGGAAUCCUCCGCAAUGGGCGAAAGCCUGACGGAGCAACGCCGCGUGAGUGAUGAAGGUCUUCGGAUCGUAAAACUCUGUUAUUAGGGAAGAACAUAUGUGUAAGUAACUGUGCACAUCUUGACGGUACCUAAUCAGAAAGCCACGGCUAACUACGUG
Molecule: ribosomal RNA, 497 nt
Filed under: uncultured bacterium
Lineage: Bacteria
Description: partial 16S ribosomal RNA
Rfam family: Bacterial small subunit ribosomal RNA
Source: RNAcentral